AGACCAGCACCUCAAGUGGUCAGGAUGAUUAUUGGGCCUAAAGCAUCCGUAGCCUGUUCUGUAAGUUUUCGGUUAAAUCCAUUAGCUCAACUAAUGGGCCGCCGAAAAUACUGCAUAACUAGGGAGUGGGAGAGGUAGACGGUACUCGGUAGGAAGGGGUAAAAUCCUUUGAUCUAUUGAUGACCACCUGUGGCGAAGGCGGUCUACCAGAACACGUUCGACGGUGAGGGAUGAAAGCUGGGGGAGCAAACCGGAUUAGAUACCCGAGUAGUCC
This 274-nucleotide ribosomal RNA is filed under the name uncultured bacterium. RNAcentral describes it as "partial 16S ribosomal RNA". It matches the Rfam family "Archaeal small subunit ribosomal RNA", at positions 473 to 747 of the family's 1478-position model. The record is from RNAcentral.